Molecule: ribosomal RNA, 253 nt
Filed under: uncultured bacterium
Lineage: Bacteria
Description: partial 16S ribosomal RNA
Rfam family: Bacterial small subunit ribosomal RNA
Source: RNAcentral
UACGUAGGGUGCGAGCGUUGUCCGGAAUUACUGGGCGUAAAGGGCUUGUAGGUGGUUUGUCGCGUUGUUCGUGAAAACUCACAGCUUAACUGUGGGCGUGCGGGCGAUACGGGCAGACUGGAGUACUGCAGGGGAGACUGGAAUUCCUGGUGUAGCGGUGGAAUGCGCAGAUAUCAGGAGGAACACCGAUGGCGAAGGCAGGUCACUGGGCCGCAACUGACGCUGAGGAGCGAAAGCAUGGGGAGCGAACAGG